Molecule: ribosomal RNA, 792 nt
Filed under: Triticum aestivum (bread wheat)
Lineage: Eukaryota; Viridiplantae; Streptophyta; Magnoliopsida; Poales; Poaceae
Description: partial small subunit ribosomal RNA
Source: RNAcentral
AUGCCUGGAGGAGUUAAUGACAUGGCUAUUGUGCUAAUCCCUAAGGUCCCUCACCCUAAGGACCUGAAAGAUUUUCGGCCAAUAAGCUUGUGUAAUGUCAUUUACAAGAUUGUCUCGAAGUGUAUGGUGAAUAGACUGCGGCCUAUUCUGUUAGAGCUAAUCUCAGAGAACCAAAGCGCCUUCAUUCCUAGGAGGCUCAUUACUGACAAUUCCAUAAUUGCAUUUGAGUGUCUCCAUCACAUUCAGACUACGAGGAACAAUGCGCCAGGUCUAUGUGUUCACAAACUUAACUUAUCUAAAGCCUACGACUGGGUGGAUUGGUCUUGUUUGGAGAGAGCCCUGACUAGGUGGGGUUUUUCAGAGCUAUGGUUCUCUCGUGUUAUGGCAUGUGUUUCUUCGGUCAAGUAUUCAGUGAAAUUUAAUGGCAAGCUGCUGGAGUCCUUCUCUCCCUCCAGGGGACUCCGCCAAGGUGACCCUUUGUCUCCUUUCCUCUUCUUAUUUGUUGCUGAUGCCCUGUCUUCAUUGAUGGAAAAGGUGGCAAGAGAGGAUGGUCUCAAAGGAGUCACGAUCUGUAGAGGUGCGCCGGAGAUAACACAUCUCUUAUUUGCGGAUGACUCACUCUUGUUCUUCCAGGCUACGCAACAACAGGCAUUGUUGGUGAAAGGAGUGUUGAACACAUUUGCGGCAGUGACUGGACAACUUAUCAACCCGUCGAAGUGUUCCAUUCUAUUCUCAAGCCAGUGCCCAUCUAAUGUGGUACAAGAGAUAAAGCAAACACUAGAAAUUUCAUAG